Molecule: RNA transcript, 3503 nt
Organism: Vigna unguiculata (cowpea)
Lineage: Eukaryota; Viridiplantae; Streptophyta; Magnoliopsida; Fabales; Fabaceae
Gene name: Chaperone DnaJ-domain superfamily protein
Source: RefSeq, a predicted model, not a curated record
AAAUAAGAAAUUUUUAAAAUUUCUUAUAGUAACCUUUAGCUAAAAUACUACAACAAAUUAGGUAAUUUCACCCUUAUAUUACCACUCGCUUCUGAAGCUGUUGCUACACGCAGGUUUUGCAAUUACACUUUCUUUUUUCUUUUAUUUUAAUUACAAUAAUAAUUAUAACAAUAUAAUAACAGAGAAAAAGAGGGACAAUCAUGGUCUAUCUCGCCGGUGCCGGACACAACACAGUCGUCGGAAUGGAUAAUCGGAGGCCAAAAUUCUCUACGUCAAUUUCUCCGAACAGCAUAAUUUCAACGCUCUACGACGUCUCUUCUUUGUGUCGGGGUUGCGGAGAACAUGACUUCAGUAGCGCUUCUGAAUCAGCUUGGACAGAUUUUCCCGUAGAGAACGCCUACGAGCUGUUAGGAGUGUCUGAGACCAGUUCCUUUACCGAAAUUAAAGCGUCGUUUCGAAAAUUGGCCAAAGAAACUCACCCAGACCUCGCUGAGUCAAGCAAUGACUCCAGUGCGUCUCGACGAUUUGUGCAAAUUCUGGCUGCCUACGAGAUUCUUUCAGAUUCUCAAAAGAGAGCCCAUUAUGACAUGUACCUGUUGUCUCAGAAAAAGCUUAUGCAAAAGCAUUCUGAACAGGGUUCAAAACUGUAUAUUUACAAAUCACAAGCUACUGCGUUCAAGGAGAUGGAAGUUGUUGAAUGGUUAAAAUGGUACAGAUUAACCAUAAAUAAUAUCUUGUCAGAAAAGAGGGUGGUAGAUGGAACAGGCUAUUUUGAUGUUCUUGAGAGAGAUUUUUAUUCAGCUAUUCAUGCAGCAUAUUAUGGUCCUGAAAUUGAUUCUAUGCCCAUGGAAUUUCUUCCUGACUGCUUUGAGGCUGAGGAGAGGUCCUCUUAUGAAACUCCUGAGGUUUUGCACUUAGUUUCAGGUCGUGAUCUUUUCGGAAUGGUUUGCCUAGCCAACAAGGUUCCAGAGAUAUCAACUAUUAACAAUGAAAUGUUAACAUCUUUUAGAUCCUUCCAUUCAGCCUCGUGUCAAUCUAUAACAAAUGUGAAUGUCUACAGCAAUGCAGAAAGAUCAGAUGAUUUUGAAACCUAUCAAGGUCUCAGCCCUAAAACUUCAGGUAUUGUAUCAGAUGCAUAUAGACAUCUUGAAUUGCACAUCUCUGGAAGAGUUGUUGCUACAGCAUCUAGGACCCUACCUAGAAGCUGUUCUGAUGUAAUGCAGACAGAAGAUACCGAAGAUCACAUUCAAGUGUUCCUUAACUUAUACGAAGAUCCCAAACAUAUCAUCAGUGAUUUUUGGAAAGGUUACCUAGCAAAUGGUACAGUUGGAAGAAGAAUUCAUUUGGGAACUAUAUCUGGACUUGGGAGCAGUCCAGAUGAAGGUUGUUGUUAUGUUUACAAUGACAAGGGCACAAAGACCCAUGCGAUUAUGAAGCAUAGAACAUUGAUGGUGAAGCAUAUGCACUGGUAUCAGGUGGGUGAGAAAGUUUCAGUUUGCGAGUGUAGAUGCACUAGAGCACAUUUGCCACCAAAUUUUGGCUGUUUGAGCCUCGCUGUGGUUUCCAUGACAUAGGGGGUUGGUACGUUGAGACAUAUGGCAAAGAUAAGCACGGUCGUACAAAGCCAUCACAAAGGUUUUGGGAUGGCUUGGACUAUAAUAUGCAAGCUGACAGAAGACUUCAUCCAGCAAUGUAUUUGUUUGCUCUUGCAUAUCGGACACUUGAUCUUGAAUACGCUAAAGCAAGCAAGAAAUCAUUUAGGCAUGUUGUUGGAGCACAAAUGUUUCGAGUUAUUCAUUGGUGCAAGAAACUUGUUCAAUAGGUAUAUAUCCGUUGGGCUUUUGACAAUGUUAACAAAUUCAUUGUGUCCUUGCUAGAACAAUUUUGACUGAUCAUCAAUCACUUAAUAAUCUCUAUUUAGUGAUUUUGGAAGAAGAUAUUGCUGUCAAUUUAUAUUUACAAGAUUCUGGGGUGGAAUGCUCUGUAAGUACUGAAAAGGAAAACUCAUUGCAAGCCUCAAGUAGUUCUAUUACUUGGUUAGAGGAGAUUCAACUUUUCAUUUGCCUAGUGAUGGAUAUAUAUUGGGGAAAUACUGAAGUCACUUCACUUGGUAUGGGAUCGGCUGGAGUCACUUCAACUUUUUAUCAUGCCUGAGGCUAUUUGAACCAACAUUGAUUUUGUCCAAAAUAUCUCUUGCGCUACUUGUCUCGGAAAUGUUAUGCAAUCCGAAUGUUCACGGAUAUACUUGGUGUAUUUCUAUGCGUAUAACACACAUCUGCAGUUGCCUUUAUGCGUUAUUAGACAAAGAUUCUUUAUGUUGCUCAGUGUUAUGGAAGCUAGUUGUUUCACUGCACUAUGAGUUUCAUCCCCUUAUUGGAAAGGUCCAUGAAGCAGGACGGUUUUCUGGAAUUUACUUCGCCAUCAUAUCUCCUGUAUUGCCCUCCUGCUAAUGCUCGAUAAUACCUAUCCCUACAAUAGACGGGUCUUCCAUCAGCAGCCUCAGCAGCUGCUGCUGCUAGAUCAUCAUCAGUUAUCACCUCCACUGGCAGUUUAAGCAACUCCUCUUUUCUACAAUAUGCAUUAAAAAAUUGGAAUCACAUUGUGGACAAACACUGGAAGAUAGUAAAGGAUCUUUGUGUCUUCUCUUACCUCAGGUUGAGCUUUGUAUUAACCUUGGGAACGGUUGAUUUAAUUUCUUCCGUGGUAAAGGUAGUUCGAAGAAAAUUCUCCACCGGUGUAGCAAAUAUAAAUAGCAUAACUCCUGUCACAAGCAAUGCUCCUGUCCCAACUAGAGUUUGCUUCAGCAAUUUAACGACUGGUUUAACCUGGAAACAUGAAAUAUACGUCAAUUAUGCUGCAAGAAAUCGAAAUUAACAUACUGCUCUUCUAGUCUGUAUCAAAAAUUGUUCUGAAUUCAAGCUAUGCUUUGAUACUUUGUGAUGUUCCGUACCUUGUAAGAGCCCAACAAUCUAUCACGAGCUAGGAUCUGCAAAUAAACUCAGUUUUCAGAUUAUAUUGCCUGAAAUAAGUAUGUCACUGAGUAGUAGUAAUAUUUAUUACCACAUUUCACCCACGCUUUAUUCUAUAUCCUUCAUAUUCACUAUUUCUGAACAAACCUUUUUGCUGUUUAAUGCUUAAUCAGAAGUGUCUCUUACAAUUUUGAGAGGCGAUUACAGUUGCUAACCUAUUAGCUAUUCAUUUACCAAUGCCGCCCCUCCCCCUCCUCCCAUAAAUUUUAUCCUUUUGCCUACUGACAAAUUCUGCAGUAAGUAAAAUCAUCAAUUUGUCGGUUUCAAUGUAUAUAACGCAUUGACUCUAGCCUUUGAUAGGAUUUUCACAAGUGAUGUCUUUGAGGAUACUUUUGUUCUGUUCUUGGGUACCGGAAAAAUGUGUAAAAGAGGCUAACCUCGGGCGGCUUGACCCACAUCUGUCCGUCAUACCAACCACUUUCUUCAUAAGGGAUUACCGCUGAUAGAAGUCUAUCACCAACAUAACUCCAACCC